Molecule: ribosomal RNA, 434 nt
Filed under: uncultured Pseudoflavonifractor sp.
Lineage: Bacteria; Bacillati; Bacillota; Clostridia; Eubacteriales; Oscillospiraceae
Description: bacterial SSU rRNA
Rfam family: Bacterial small subunit ribosomal RNA
Source: RNAcentral
ACGGAAGGCAGCAGUAGGGAAUAUUGCACAAUGGGGGAAACCCUGAUGCAGCGACGCCGCGUGAGUGAUGAAGUAUUUCGGUAUGUAAAGCCCUAUCAGCAGGGAAGAUAAUGACGGUACCUGACUAAGAAGCCCCGGCUAACUACGUGCCAGCAGCCGCGGUAAUACGUAGGUGGCAAGCGUUAUCCGGAUUUACUGGGUGUAAAGGGCGCGUAGGCGGGAGAGCAAGUCAGAUGUGAAAUCCAUGGGCUUAACCCAUGAACUGCAUUUGAAACUGUUCUUCUUGAGUGCUGGAGAGGUAGACGGAAUUCCUUGUGUAGCGGUGAAAUGCGUAGAUAUAAGGAAGAACACCAGUGGCGAAGGCGGUCUACUGGACAGUAACUGACGCUGAGGCGCGAAAGCGUGGGGAGCAAACAGGAUUAGAUACCCUGGUA